UAUUUGGGUUCACUCUGUCACGAAGGCCAGCUACCUUGAAAGAAAUUUUACGUAGCCGCGACAACACUUGAAAACAUGCCACGACUAAGCCCGAACACCUUUACUACUAUCCGUUCAGAAAAAAUCUGUACGCUUUCAUUCGACGCUAUACGAUUUGACUCAGGGCAGAAUUCAGGCUAGCCUGUCACUGGGCCGACUUUUCAACAUGAGACAUCAAUAAUACGAAAUCUCUGUUCACUACAAAUACCACGGAAGCACUUCGUACCAGGGGUGUCCUUGACUAUCUCAAAAAUUGGCUCUAGAGACAAAGGAAAAUUACGAAGAUUUUCAGUCAGGAUAACCGGAAAACCUCCCGAGGACAAGUCAAAAGCGUUUCUGCUUUAAAAAAAUGAAGACCAAUUAAACUUUUGUCAAAGAAGACGACACAAAUUGUCCCUCGAAAACUUAAAACGCUGCUUCGUGCAAAAAGACCUGAAACGUCGUUCCAACACGACACCUACUUCGUGAAAUUUCCAUAAACACUUCAUCCGUUCGUCAUUUCCAAAAAUACCCUACACGUUUCAAUUAAACUUGACAUUGGAUACUAAAUGUAGUUUUGAAAAUUGAGUUUCGGCCCUUAUCAGCCUAUAAUAACUGUAUCCUAUUCAGUAAACAUUAUAAAUUUUUAUCACAUUUAUAAAAAAAUUGUCGAAACGUAAAUUUAUUAUAUAGCUCCAGUUUAAUAAUUACGUCUGUCAACAACAGAUCUGCAUCUGCAAGAAAUGAGUAUCAACACGAAUGAAGGUCACAAAAUGUGAAAGAACAAUUUUUUUUUUAUAAAUUUUAAAGCGUCUACACUUUUCCGCUCUGUUCUUUUUUUUUCGGUAGUGGACUUUGAAAAAUGUUUCCGGUUCGUUGCUCCUUGGCAAUGAACAUGUGAUGGAAUGAAAGCGGAAAUGUGGCAUGUAAGUUCUUAGAAUUAUACCUGAACUCAAAGCACAACCAACAUAACCUCAAAAUUAACUAUUACGAAAUUCGAGCUGCCGAAAUCUUCAAUUUCAGUCUUAUUGUUACACAAUGCGCUUCGCCUUGAACACUAGUUUGUUCCUAGUCUAUCACAAUCAAUGGAAUUAGUUCCUCAAAAUGAAAGUAAAUGAAAUUGUUGCAGAAACACGUAAUGGAAAUAUGAAUUGGACUGGAUCCCGCAAGAGGAACAUGGAAAAUUCAAGGACAAUGUAACUUACUCCGUAACUGAACUUGUCUCGUUCGUGAACUAAGCAACCAUAUUUUCAAAACUACAAAAUCUGUAUUCAAGCUGUCAGAAUCUAAAAAAAUAUUGAGCCGUCUUUGGGUGUGUUCAACAAAUUUAAAGCAAAGAUACAUUAACAUUUUUUGUACCGGGAAAACAUAAUUGGAAUCUUAAACCUCCCUAAAAUGAGCAGAGUCAUCGCACAUUUCAAUCAUAGUAACACACGCAGACAACAGCUGCUAUCUUUAGACUGACGCACAAGCAUGUCUCAUAUCGAGACGUGUUCAUUUUGUAGGUGUCAGUUCGCGUGCUUAUUUUCAAGAUUCAUCUACAAUAACAGGAGUUAAUUUUUCGAUAACCCGAUCAUGUUCUUCACAAAUUCUAGGUCAAUUUCCAAAUAACAGUUCAUCUGAUUCCGUAGUUGUAUUCAUUGUAGAGCUACUCUGAUGAUAAAGACAUUUCUGUUUUAAUGAA
Long non-coding RNA from Zootermopsis nevadensis, 1702 nucleotides. RefSeq lists it as uncharacterized. The record is from RefSeq and is a predicted model, not a curated record. Lineage: Eukaryota; Metazoa; Arthropoda; Insecta; Blattodea; Termopsidae.